AUACGUAGGUGCCAAGCGUUAUCCGGAUUUACUGGGCGUAAAGGGCGUGUAGGCGGUCUUGCAAGUCAGAAGUGAAAUUCCUGAGCUCAACUCGGGUGCUGCUUCUGAAACUGCAGGACUUGAGUGCUGGAGGGGAUAGCGGAAUUCCUAGUGGAGCGGUAAAAUGCGCAGAUAUUAGGAAGAACACCGGUGGCGAAGGCGGCUAUCUGGACAGUAACCGGAGCUGAGGCGCCAAAGCGUGGGUAGCAAACAGGAUGAGAUGCACGGCUAGUCCACGCCGUAAACGAUGAAUACUAGGUGUAGGGGGUAUCGACUCCCUCUGUGCCGCAGUUAACACAAUAAGUAUUCCGCCUGGGGAGUACGGCCGCAAGGUUGAAACUCAAAGGAAGUGACAGGG
This 397-nucleotide ribosomal RNA is filed under the name uncultured bacterium. Its description in RNAcentral is "partial 16S ribosomal RNA". It matches the Rfam family "Bacterial small subunit ribosomal RNA", at positions 523 to 918 of the family's 1533-position model. The record is from RNAcentral.